This 329-nucleotide ribosomal RNA is filed under the name uncultured eukaryote. RNAcentral's name for it is "partial 18S ribosomal RNA". It matches the Rfam family "Eukaryotic small subunit ribosomal RNA", at positions 1470 to 1796 of the family's 1831-position model. The record is from RNAcentral.
CCCUUAGAUGUCCUGGGCCGCACGCGCGCUACACUGAGUGUCUGAGAUACGAGUCUGCCUGGUCCGGCAAGGUCUAGGUAAUCGCUAAAAGACACAUCAUGCUUGGGAUAGAUUAUUGCAAAUAUUAAUCUUGAACGAGGAAUUCCUAGUAAGCGCAAGUCAACAGCUUGCGUUGAUUACGUCCCUGCCCUUUGUACACACCGCCCGUCGCUACUACUGAGUGGAUGUUUAAGCGAGGUUCUCGAACUGCUAGCGACUUAGCUUCGGUGAGGUCGCAGUGUGGGAAGUGAACCUAGCUUUGGUGUCUAGAGGAAGUAAAAGUCGUAACA